GACGAACCGUCCUAACGUUGUUCGGAUUCACUGGGCUUAAAGGGCGCGUAGGCGGGCUGCCAAGUCCGGGGUGAAAUCUUUCGGCUCAACCGGAAAAGUGCCUUGGAAACUGGCGGCCUCGAGGGGGGUAGGGGCCUGUGGAACUUCGGGUGGAGCGGUGAAAUGCGUUGAUAUCCGAAGGAACGCCGGUGGCGAAAGCGACGGGCUGGACCCCUUCUGACGCUGAGGCGCGAAAGCCAGGGGAGCAAACGGG
This 253-nucleotide ribosomal RNA is filed under the name uncultured bacterium. Its description in RNAcentral is "partial 16S ribosomal RNA". It matches the Rfam family "Bacterial small subunit ribosomal RNA", at positions 524 to 776 of the family's 1533-position model. The record is from RNAcentral.